UACUGACUGACUGACUGUACCCACUGGAAGUAGGAUAUAGCACCUACUGACUGACUGACUGUACCAGCUGGAUGUGGGAUCUAGCACCUACUGACUGACUGACUGUACCAGCUGGACAUCGGAUCUAGCACCUACUGACUGACUGACUGUACCAGCUGAAUGUGGAAUCUAGCACCUACUGACUGACUGACUACUGGAUGUGGGAUCUAGCAGCUACUGACUGACUGUACCAGCUGGACUUGGGAUAUAACACCUACUGACUGACUGUACCGGCUGGAUGUGGGAUCUAGCACCUACUGACUGACUGACUGUACCAGCUAGACAUGGGAUAUAACAUCUACUGACUUACUGACUGUACCGGAUGGAUGUGGGAUCUAGCACCUACUGACUGACUGACUGUACCAGCUGAAUGUGGAAUCUAGCACCUACUGACUGACUGACUACUGGAUGUGGGAUCUAGCAGCUACUGACUGACUGUACCAGCUGGACUUGGGAUAUAACACCUACUGACUGACUGUACCAGCUGGACUUGGGAUAUAACACCUACUGACUGACUCUUCCAGCUGAGGAUGGGAUCUAUCACGUACUGACUGAGUGUACCAGCUGAGGAUGGGAUCUAGCCCUAACUCUGACUGACUGUACCAGAUGAGGACAGGAUCUAGCACGUACUGACUGACUGUGCCAGCUGAUUAAAUCACUUACUGACUGUACCAGCUGAUUACAUAACUGACUGACUCUACCAGCUGGCACGGCGAUGGGAUCUAACACCUACUAACUGUCUGACUGACGGACUUUCUGACCGACUGUCUGACUGAUUAGCUGGCUGACUGGCUAGGCUGACUGGCUAGGCUGACUGACUGACUGACUGACUGACUGGCUGGCUGGCUGGCUGGCUGGCUGGCUGGCUGACUUCCUGACUGAUUGGCUGGCUGGCUGACUGGCUGGCUGAUUGGCUGGCUGACUGAUUGGCUGAUUGGCUGGCUGGCUGACUGGCUGGCUGACUGGCUGGCUGGCUGACUGAUUGGCUGGCUGAUUGGCUGGCUGGCUGACUGGCUGGCUGACUUCCUGACUGAUUGGCUGGCUGGCUGACUGACUGGCUGACUGUCCUUCCAUUGCCUUCUCUCCCCGGGGAUUCAGACGGGAAAACAAAGCCAGAGAACUUGAACCAACUGUAAUGUAACUAGUUAAAGCAGGCGACACACUUGAGUCUGUCUGUCUGUCUGUCUGUUAAAGUCAUGAUUAUUCAAUACUACCAUAAUUAUAUUAUUCUAUUGAUCUGUUAUAGUCAUGAUUAUUCAAUACCACCAUAAUUAUAUUAUUCUGUUGAUAUUGUUGGGGUUGUGAACGUACAGUACAGUAAGAGACUAUUGUUUGUGGAUACUGUACUUUUUAAAGACGAAGCUGAGAACACUGCUGCUACCUGACGGUGACUGUAACAUUAGGUCUGUACGGUGCCCAUAUUAGGACAGCGUCAGUCUCAGCAGGCGUUAUUAGGUCCUGAUCAGACUGAGGAUGUCCUAAUACAGACACCAUAGGUGUGUUAUUUAAUGAUGGUCUGCAUUCCAAAUGGCACCUUGUUCCCUUUGUAGCUGAACUAUUGUUGACCAGAGCCUACGGUGUUGACCAGGUCCUACAGUGUUGACCAGGGCCUACAGUGUUGACCAGAGCCUACGGUGUUGACCAGGUCCUACAGUGUUGACCAGGGCCUACAGUGUUGACCAGGGCCUACAGUGUUGACCAGAGCCUACGGUGUUGACCAGGUCCUACAGUGUUGACCAGGGCCUACAGUGUUGACCAGGGCCUACAGUGUUGACCAGAGCCUACGGUGUUGACCAGGUCCUACAGUGUUGACCAGGGUCUACAGUGUUGACCAGGGUCUACAGUGUUGACCAGGGCCUACAGUGUUGACCAGGGCCUACGGCUGCUGGUGUUGACCAGAUGCUACGGCUGCUGGUGUUGACCAGAUCCUACGGCUGCUGGUGUUGACCAGGUCCUACGGCUGCUGGUGUUGACCAGGUCCUACGGCUGCUGGUGUUGACCAGGUCCUACGGCUGCUGGUCAACAUAGUGUACUCUAUGGGGAACAGGAUGCCAUGUGGAACACAGCCCCUAUUGAAGACCUUUCUAGCUAUGUUGGUUCUGUUGUUUGUGCACGGAAAUGGAAUUAAAUACAACAAGGGCACGUUUUUGUUAUUUUUCAACAUAAUAUAUUUUGCACUGAGACACAAAAAUGUGUUAAUACUGUACAUUUUGUUUUUAGAUGCGUGUAUAAAGCCUCACCAGUGCCACAUAGUUCAAAUGUAUAAAAUAUUGUUGUACUGUGGAAUGUUAAUAGUCUUUUGGAUUGCAAUGUAUUGCCUUUACACACAGUCUGCUGGUUGUCAACACUAUAGGCCAUAAAGGAGGGGCAUCUGACUGCUAUAGAAUUACCGGCCAUAAAGGAGGGGCAUCUGACUGCUAUAGAAUUACCGGCCAUAAAGGAGGGGCAUCUGACUGCUAUAGAAUUACCGGCAUC
This is a long non-coding RNA of Oncorhynchus tshawytscha (Chinook salmon), 2514 nucleotides long. The record is from Ensembl. Lineage: Eukaryota; Metazoa; Chordata; Actinopteri; Salmoniformes; Salmonidae.